This 553-nucleotide long non-coding RNA is filed under the name Parus major (Great Tit). RNAcentral's name for it is "lncRNA (ENSPMJG00000010018.1)". Lineage: Eukaryota; Metazoa; Chordata; Aves; Passeriformes; Paridae. The record is from RNAcentral.
CAACUGUGCCAGCUGCCAGCACCGCAGCCAGCGGCGAGCACCCCGGCAAAUAGGGGCACCAAAAUUCAGAGCCUAAGGCCGAGGGUGAAAAUUUUGCCAGGAAUUACCUGAAAAAUGCUUCUGUUAAAAAAAGGGUGUAUUUGAGAACUGCUUUUAGGUCUCGACUUUGCCCUGUUGUUUACUCAAUGCUCAAGGCAAGGUUUAUAAAAUACUUUUUAUUGGACUAUCUGCAUUUCUUGGCAAAAAAAAGCUAAGCUUUGGGGCAAACAAAACCUUCAGACUUGUGCAGCUGUGGAAAGAUGUAAUGGGUACCUAAAUUACAGAAUCUCCUCUCCGUGCUGCCACACAGGCUUGGUAUAGGACUUGCAAACUGUUGCUACAUAGGGAAUAUCCCUGGGGAGCAGACUGGGGGAGUUCGAGGUAUACAAGACAUUCACCGACUUUGGAAACAUCCCAGAACUGUAGUUGGAAGAGUAGCAGGUUAUGCUGUGAAAGAAGCAGAAUAGGAACAUUUUCCAAAAUUCCAAUGAGAUCAUCCUCUACACUCUGCUGA